Molecule: ribosomal RNA, 469 nt
Filed under: uncultured bacterium
Lineage: Bacteria
Description: bacterial SSU rRNA
Rfam family: Bacterial small subunit ribosomal RNA
Source: RNAcentral
GAUGAACGCUGGCGGCGUGCUUAACACAUGCAAGUCGAACGAAGAUGCCGGAGUGCUUGCACUUUGGCAGACUGAGUGGCGGACGGGUGAGUAACGCGUGGGUAACCUGCCUUAUACAGGGGGAUAACAGUUGGAAACGACUGCUAAUACCGCAUAAGCGCACAGUACCGCAUGGUACAGUGUGAAAAACUCCGGUGGUAUGAGAUGGACCCGCGUCUGAUUAGCUAGUUGGUGGGGUAACGGCCUACCAAGGCGACGAUCAGUAGCCGACCUGAGAGGGUGACCGGCCACAUUGGGACUGAGACACGGCCCAAACUCCUACGGGAGGCAGCAGUGGGGAAUAUUGCACAAUGGGGGAAACCCUGAUGCAGCAACGCCGCGUGAGUGAAGAAGUAAUUCGUUAUGUAAAGCUCUAUCAGCAGGGAAGAUAGUGACGGUACCUGACUAAGAAGCUCCGGCUAAAUACGUG